GUGCCAGCAGCUGCGGUAAUACCGGCAGCUCGAGUGAUGACCGCUGUUAUUGGGCCUAAAGCGUCCGUAGCUGGCCACGCAAGUUCGUCGGGAAAUCCAUCGGCUCAACCGAUGGGCGUCCGGCGAAAACUGCGUGGCUUGGGACCGGAAGGCUCGAGGGGUACGUCCGGGGUAGGAGUGAAAUCCCGUAAUCCUGGACGGACCACUGAUGGCGAAAGCACCUCGAGAAGACGGAUCCGACAGUGAGGGACGAAAGCUGGGGUCUCGAACCGGAUUAGAUACCCCAGUAGUCC
This 293-nucleotide ribosomal RNA is filed under the name uncultured bacterium. RNAcentral describes it as "partial 16S ribosomal RNA". It matches the Rfam family "Archaeal small subunit ribosomal RNA", at positions 455 to 747 of the family's 1478-position model. The record is from RNAcentral.